This 253-nucleotide ribosomal RNA is filed under the name uncultured bacterium. Its description in RNAcentral is "partial 16S ribosomal RNA". It matches the Rfam family "Bacterial small subunit ribosomal RNA", at positions 524 to 776 of the family's 1533-position model. The record is from RNAcentral.
AACGUAGGUUCCGAGCGUUAUCCGGAUUUACUGGGCGUAAAGCGCGUUCAGGCGGUUUGGCAAGUCGGGCAUGAAAUCUCUCGGCUCAACCGGGAGAGGUUGUCCGAUACUUCCAGACUUGAGGGCAGUAGAGGGUGGUGGAAUUCCGGGUGUAGUGGUGAAAUGCGUAGAUAUCCGGAGGAACACCAGUGGCGAAAGCGGCCACCUGGACUGCACCUGACGCUGACACGCGAAAGCUAGGGGAGCGAACGAG